RNAcentral lists this long non-coding RNA (235 nucleotides) under Sorghum bicolor (sorghum). RNAcentral's name for it is "long non-coding RNA (SBIC_LNC004279)". Lineage: Eukaryota; Viridiplantae; Streptophyta; Magnoliopsida; Poales; Poaceae. The record is from RNAcentral.
AAUAUUUGUUCAAUGAAUUGCAGUACUUGUUCAAUGAAUUGGAAUGAGACAUGUAUUUUGCCCCUGAUAGCAUGAUGUUUUGUGAUAAUCAUAACAAUAUCAUAGAUUGGGAGAAAGAAAUACAAAGGAAUAGAAAAUGAUAGUACUUACCAAAGCACAAGGCAACUGCAUAAUAACGGGGAUCCAUUUGAUGACAGGAUGUGCUACUUGGCUAGUAAAUCGAGAGGAUAAAAGG